UACGUAGGGUGCGAGCGUUGUCCGGAAUUAUUGGGCGUAAAGGGCUCGUAGGCGGUUUGUCACGUCAGGAGUGAAAACUCGGGGCUCAACCCCGAGCCUGCUUCUGAUACGGGCAGACUAGAGGUAUGCAGGGGAGAACGGAAUUCCUGGUGUAGCGGUGAAAUGCGCAGAUAUCAGGAGGAACACCGGUGGCGAAGGCGGGUCUCUGGGCCGAUACUGACGCUGAGGAGCGAAAGCGUGGGGAGCGAACAGG
RNAcentral lists this ribosomal RNA (253 nucleotides) under uncultured bacterium. RNAcentral describes it as "partial 16S ribosomal RNA". It matches the Rfam family "Bacterial small subunit ribosomal RNA", at positions 524 to 776 of the family's 1533-position model. The record is from RNAcentral.